Molecule: long non-coding RNA, 519 nt
Filed under: Junco hyemalis (dark-eyed junco)
Lineage: Eukaryota; Metazoa; Chordata; Aves; Passeriformes; Passerellidae
Description: lncRNA (ENSJHYG00000006520.1)
Source: RNAcentral
GGAAGAGAGCGAGAGAGAGAGAGAGGGAGACGUACACAGACAGACACACGCAUCCCAUAGUGAGGGCAGAGGCAGAGAGCAGGCAAGGCAGAGAGGGAGAGAGGGGAGAGAGAGAGCCCCAAAGCAGCCUUGUGCCUCUGAGCUGGGAUCUGCCAGGGCACAGCCAGCAUGUUGGUCCUCAGCCCGCUUGUCCGGGGAUCUUACCUGCUGCUUUUCUUCUGCUUUGCUUUGCCUCAGACUGCGUACGCUGACAAUGUCUUCUCAUUUUCAGCAGAUCUGCCUUGUUUGGAACAGAAGAAGCAGCACUGCAGAGCACGCUGCCUCCUUGGCCCUCCUCCACCGCCCCUGCUCCCACCACCGUCCUUCAGGCACAGCUGGAGCACUAAGCUGGAUAUGGAAGAGCUGUGCCAUGAGCUCCAGAUAAUACAGGCUUCCACUCUGCCUGAAUUGCACUGCUCUGCAGGGCCUCCUGGCCCCCAGGUGAGUGAGGCAUGUGUGAUGAAACCACAUCAUUCUCUC